GACGAACGCUGGCGGCGUGCCUAAUACAUGCAAGUCGAGCGCAGGAAACUGACGGAACUCUUCGGAGGGAAGGCAGUGGAAUGAGCGGCGGACGGGUGAGUAACACGUAAGGAACCUGCCUCAAGGAUUGGGAUAACUCCGAGAAAUCGGAGCUAAUACCGGAUAGUUCAUCGGACCGCAUGGUCCGCUGAUGAAAGGCGCUUCGGCGUCACCUUGAGAUGGCCUUGCGGUGCAUUAGCUAGUUGGUGGGGUAACGGCCCACCAAGGCGACGAUGCACAGCCGACCUGAGAGGGGGAUAGGCCACACUGGGACUGAGACACGGCCCAGACUCCUACGGGAGGCAGCAGUAGGGAAUCUUCCACAAUGGACGAAAGUCUGAUGGAGCAACGCCGCGUGAGUGAUGAAGGUUUUCGGAUCGUAAAACUCUGUUGUAAGGGAAGAACACGUACGAGAGGGAAUGCUCGUACCUUGACGGUACCUUACGAGAAAGCCACGGCUAACUACGUGCCAGCAGCCGCCGCCG
This 524-nucleotide ribosomal RNA is filed under the name uncultured bacterium. RNAcentral's name for it is "partial 16S ribosomal RNA". It matches the Rfam family "Bacterial small subunit ribosomal RNA", at positions 28 to 523 of the family's 1533-position model. The record is from RNAcentral.